Non-coding RNA from Picea glauca (white spruce), 121 nucleotides. The record is from Rfam. NCBI's taxonomy places the organism in Eukaryota, Viridiplantae, Streptophyta, Pinopsida, Pinales, Pinaceae.
ACAUGCCUACAACAUAGCAUUAAUGCAAUGGAUCCCAUUAGAACUCCACAGUUAAGCAUGCUCAUGCUAGAGUAGUACUGGGAUGGGUGACCGCUCGGGAAGUCCCAAUGUUUUACAUGCC